RNAcentral lists this ribosomal RNA (381 nucleotides) under uncultured bacterium. RNAcentral's name for it is "bacterial SSU rRNA". It matches the Rfam family "Bacterial small subunit ribosomal RNA", at positions 28 to 409 of the family's 1533-position model. The record is from RNAcentral.
GACGAACGCUGGCGGCGUGCUUAACACAUGCAAGUCGAGCGGUAAGGCCCUUUCGGGGGUACGACGAGCGGCGAACGGGUGAGUAACACGUGGGUGACCUGCCCUUAGCUCUGGGAUAAGCCUGGGAAACUGGGUCUAAUACCGGAUAUGACUCCAUGACGCAUGUUGUGGGGUGGAAAGCCUUGUGCGGCUAGGGAUGGGCCUGCGGCCUAUCAGCUUGUUGGUGGGGUGAUGGCCUACCAAGGCGACGACGGGUAGCCGGCCUGAGAGGGCGACCGGCCACACUGGGACUGAGACACGGCCCAGACUCCUACGGGAGGCAGCAGUGGGGAAUCUUGCGCAAUGGGCGAAAGCCUGACGCAGCGACGCCGCGUGGGGAGU